AAGAAGAAAGGGGAAGCAGGUGGAAAAGCAAUUAAAAAAAAAUCAGCAUCUCUCUCUAGCCUAUUAUCUCCUGUUAGACACAGCCCAGAAAAUGAAUAGAGACAAGUCCUGGCUGGGUCUGGGUUCAGAAACAUAAUAGAAGGAUUCAUCUAAUCUGUCGGCCACUGUGGAGGAAGUGAACCUUCUAGAUCCUGCUGACUCAUACAAUGAGUUUUGUGUGGACCAUCAGACAAAAGGGCUGGCUGGUGAAGGUGGCUGUUGUCUGGAAAUUCCUCCCAGCUCUCCUCUAAUUAUGUCAUAAGGACUGGAGGCCCCUUAGCCUGCUUGUGAUAACACGCAAGGAAAUAUGGGCCAACUCUUCACAUGAACACAAGAUAUUUCCAUGCUAGCCUUUUGCAAGUAACAACAGAGAGAGCUCUGUGCAGUUUUCACUGGAAUGCCUGUGGAUUGCUUGUGUCAUAACUGUAAUCUAAAGAGUUGUCCAUUUGUUGAUUCCUUUGUAUUUGUAUUGGUAGAAUUGCCACUAUCAAACCAAGAUCUUUAGCUGCCUUUGUAUCAACUUCUUUGGAGCUUAUGUGAUUUUCCAGAAAAUUUCCAAGGCAUAGUUUUGUCCCUAAGUCCCAUGAAUAUGUAAUAUUUUGUGUCUCUCUAUUAAAAUAGCACUUUUUGUGCAUUCCAUUAACAAAAAAAAAAAAAAAA
This 699-nucleotide long non-coding RNA is filed under the name Homo sapiens (human). RNAcentral's name for it is "glutamine insufficiency regulator of glutaminase lncRNA, transcript variant 3 (GIRGL)". The record is from RNAcentral. Lineage: Eukaryota; Metazoa; Chordata; Mammalia; Primates; Hominidae.